Non-coding RNA from Rattus norvegicus (Norway rat), 9021 nucleotides. Lineage: Eukaryota; Metazoa; Chordata; Mammalia; Rodentia; Muridae. The record is from RefSeq and is a predicted model, not a curated record.
GGGUUGGGAGGGGAACACCCAUAAGGAAGGGGAGGGGGGAGGGGGAUGUUUGCCCGGAUACCGGGAAAGGGAAUAACACUCGAAAUGUAUAUAAGAAAUACUCAAGUUAAUAAAAAAAAAUAUUAAAAAAAAAAAACAAAAAAAACAAACAAAAAAAACCCAAAUCCAGUCAAAUCAGUACUGAGCACAAAGCACCUGUAAGACCAGAUGAGGUCACGGAGGUGGCGUGAUUGAACAUGGCAAGGAUCAAGAUGGAAAAGAAGGUGUGUUCAAAAGGAGAGAGGGACCCAUGCAGCCAAAAGGAGCAGGUGAACAUGGAAUUCAGGAAAUGGGCACAAACCUUAAAAUAACCGUCAGUGUUUAAAAAUUAGAAGAUGCAGUUGAGAAUUUGCCAGAGAGUUUGAAACUGAAAAAAACAAAUGGCGUUGGUAUAGUCAGAAAUGGAAACAAUAAAAAUAAACUCCUGAAAGAACAGUUGGGAAGAUAAGCCAACUUGAGAGGAGAAUUACUUAGCUGGAAGUUCAGUGUUUCACUUCUUUUUUUCUGAAGGGCAGAACAGAGCUGAAGAUCUUUGUUUAUCCAUCCAUCCACCCACCCACCCAUCCAUCCAUCAGAUAAGGGCUUGACAUUCAUGUUGGAGUCCAAAGAAAAAGAGAGAAAAGUAAAACAGAGCAAUAUUUGAAGAGAUAGUGCUUUAAAACUCCCAAAAGAGGAGUAGAAGUAUUUGAUUAUAUAUUUAUGAUGAAUGUGGCCCUGUGUGUGUGUGUGUGUGUGUGUGUGACUGUGUGUAUGUGUAUGACUGUAUGUGUGUGUGACUGUGUAUGUGUGUGACUGUGUAUGACUCUCUGUGUGUGUGUGUGUGUGUUUUAUGGAAAAGGGAAGAAAUAGCUUUUGAGGUCUGUGGGCAGGCAAGCUUUCCAUGUAGAGACUGGAGCAUCCCUACACACUGUAGGGAAAGAGCUGGAGACUUCUGGACUAGGAAUGGUGGGGGCAACUGCUCAUCCCACAUCACAUUCUUUAGCCUUGUCCCCUGCUUGAUGUUUUCAUUGGCUUUAUAAGCAUGCCGCCAAGGUUAAUGUGGCCUUUCAUAGGUAACAUUAGCUGGCAUCUGGUGGCAAGGAUGAUCCCAACGUUCUGCUUAAAUGCCCUGGAAUCUUUACUUAGCUCUAAAUUGUGUAAUUAAUGAGGAAAUUAGACCUACUAGUAAGAAUAUAAUUUCUUAGAAGGGCACUAUUAUUAGAGUCUCAGUGUACUCCUCAAGCUGACCUAUAGAACUCACUAUGUAGUCCAUACUGGCCUCAAGUUUGUGGCAAUUCUUCUGCCUCUGCAUUUCAAGUUCUGAGAUUAUAGGCCCAUGCCUAGGUCCAGGAAGAGUAUUUUUUUUCCAUCUUUAUUAAAUUGGGUAUUUCUUAUUUACAUUUCAAAUGUUAUUCCAUUUCCCGGUUUCCAAGCCAAUAUCCCCCUAACCCCUCCCCCUCCCCUUCUAUGUGGGUGUUCCUCCCCCCAUUACCGCCCUCCCCCCAACAAUCAUGUUCACUGGGGGGUUCAGUCUUGGCAGGACCAAGGGCUUCCCAUUCCACUGGUGCCCUUACUAGGAUAUUCAUUGCUACCUAUAAAUUGGAGCCCAGGGUCAGUCUUUGGGUACUGGCUUAGUCCCUCAACCAACCAGAGCUUCCAGGAAGAACAUUUUACAUUGUACUUGUCACCUUUGCUGAUCUGUUCAGUUGUUAUUAGUGCAUGGAAGCAACAUUUCUCUUUGAUCCUUUCUUUGGUAAUCCUCCUCACCCCUCCCAUCUCACCCACCCCCAGAAGCCUAUUAAAUAUGGAGACAGCUGCAUGGUGCUUACAGAGAUGUCUCAGGUGCAGCGUUUAGCUCUAGAGCCAGUGAACAACCUUGGCAGACAGGCUUCAGGAGAUUUAAGUCACAUUUUCUUCACCGAUUGGAUAUGGAAUUUGGGGCAAGUUAUGGAGCCGCUCAGAGCCUCAGUGCCCUUGCUGGUGAAAUGGGGGACAGGAUAUUAGUACCCACACUACAGUUUUGUUAGGCAUGUUCACACUUCCAUUCCUGCAACAGAAUGCCCGAGGGCGGGGGGCACUUCAAGGAUGUUAGCCCAUGGCUACUUAGCUGUGCUGGUCUAGUCCAUACACAGAACAUCAUGGCAAGCGGCAUGUGUUAGAGCAAAGAUACCACCCUGUGGUGGCUUGGACUAGGAGGUGGGGAAAGAAGGAAGGAAGGAAGGAAGGAAGGAAGGAAGGGAGGAAGGAAGGGAGGAAGGGAGGGAGGAAGGAAGGGAGGGAGGAAGGAAGGAAGGGAGGAGGGAAGAAAGGAAGGAUGGGAGGAAGGGAGGGAGGGAGGGAGGAAGGGAGGGAAGAAAGGAAGGAAGGAAGGAAGGAAGGAAGGAAGGAAGGAAGGAAGGAAGGGUUAGGUAAACAUUCAAAGGCAUGCAUCUAGUGAUCUGUUUUCUUCAUCUAGGCCAAAUAAUCCACUCAGAUGUGAGCUUAUCAAUUGAUUAAUACACUGAUAAAGUGACCUAAUGACCUCUCAGCAGGGGAGCUAUAAGCUGUGGACCAAACUAUGAGGCUUUUCUUCUCCUUCUUCUUCUCCUUCUUCUCCUUCUCCUCCUUCUCCUCCUUCUUCUCCUUCUUCUCCUCCUUCUCCUCCUUCUCCUUCUCCUUCUUCUCCUUCUUCUCCUUCUCCUCCUUCUCCUCCUUCUUCUCCUUCUUCUCCUCCUUCUCCUCCUUCUCCUUCUCCUCCUUCUCCUCCUUCUCCUCCUUCUCCUUCUCCUCCUUCUCCUCCUUCUUCUCCUUCUUCUUCUCCUUCUCCUCCUUCUCCUCCUUCUUCUUCUCCAUCUUCUCCUUCUUCUUCUCCUUCUCCUCCUUCUUCUUCUCCUUCUUCUCCUUCUCCUUCUCCUUCUUCUCCUUCUUCUUCUUCUCCUUCUUCUUCUCCUUCUCCUCCUUCUCCUCCUUCUUCUCCUUCUUCUCCUUCUUCUCCUUCUCCUCCUUCUCCUCCUUCUUCUCCUUCUUCUCCUUCUUCUCCUUCUCCUCCUUCUUCUCCUCCUUCUCCUCCUUCUCCUCCUUCUCCUCCUUCUCCUCCUUCUCCUUCUUCUCCUUCUUCUCCUUCUUCUCCUUCUCCUUCUUCUCCUUCUUCUCCUUCUUCUCCUUCUUCUCCUUCUUCUCCUUCUUCUCCUUCUUCUCCUUCUCCUCCUUCUCCUUCUCCUCCUUCUCCUCCUUCUCCUCCUUCUCCUUCUUCUCCUCCUUCUCCUCCUUCCUCCUUCCUCCUCCUCGUCCUCCUUGUCCUCCUCGUGUGUGUAGUGUGUGUGUGUGUGUGUGUGUGUGUGUGUGUGUGUUGUCCACGGGAGACCAGAUGAAGGCAUCAGGAUUCCUCGAGCUGGAGUUACAGUCAGUUGUGAACUGCCAAAUGUGAGUGCUGGAGACAGAGCUUGGUCCUUCCAAGAGCAGUACUUACUCGAAGCUGCUGUUCUAUUUCUCCAGCCCUUGGCUGGGUAAAUAGGACCCUUUCAUAUCUUAGUUCUACACAAUGCUGGCACUCUAGCCCAAGCUCAGUAGUAAGAGCACUUGCUGCUCUUGCAGAGGAACCCUAUUAUGUUUUCAGCAUCCACAUAUCUACUCCCAAUUAUUUGUAAUUCCAGUCCUAGAGGAUCUGACAAGCUCUCCUGACCUCCGCAGGCAUCAGGCAAAUACGUUGCACAUAUUCAUGCCUGCAGCCAAAACACUCACAUGCACAAAAUAAUAUCCUAAAAUGUUUACAAAAUGAAGUAAGAAAUCAACACACGUUCCUAACAUAGCAUCUCCCACAAAGAGGAUAUUCCAUGAAAGUUUCUUCCUGCUUCUUCUGGUAGAAGAGGAAUUUUACUGUUGCAUGUUAGAUUCUUGUUAGGGAUUUAAUUACUAGUGCUGGACUCCUCCUGCUUGAAAUUCUCUUUUAAUUUGUCUAGGGUCAGGUCCCUAGACUAUUAGCAACAUGCCAGUUCUAGUUUGUCAUCAAGGUUACCGUGGUUUGAGAAGGUAAUUAACUAACGCUUAUUCACCUCUCAGUGGAGUCACCAGCUGUGGACCAAGUCUUCAGUCCAUGAGACUUUUAGAGGGACCUUUUUUUUUCUUUAAAGAAAAAAAAAAUGUGUGUGUAUCUGUGUGGGGAUAUAUACAAGUGCAUGUAAUACCCAUGGAGACCAGAAGAGGGCAUCAGGUCAUCUGACAUCCUGCCCUCCUGAAUCCCUGUGCCUGUCUCUAAGUUGCCAAGGGCGUGUUUACAAAUGUCCUUUUGAUGGAGUCUUUCAAAGUUGACCACACUUAUUCUGGAUGUUGCUAUAAAGUGUGUGUGUGGUGCUGAUGUUUACAUAGCCCUGGCCAGCCAGGUAAGGGGGGGUGUGUGUGAAUCACUCCCUUUUUUAAAAUGUCAUAUCUGAUCAUCUAUAUUUUGCUGUAGGAUUCUCUCUUAUGGAAACUCCAGUGUGGGAGAAAUUGCACAAAUCACACCAAAUGAAUUGUGCGGUAUGCCAAAGCCAAAAUGGAAUAUUCAUUCCUGCACAUCUGAUUUCAUGUGACUUAAAAUGUAUAGCCUUUGGGACCGUCGUUAUCACAUUGGCUGCUGUAUGGCAAAGGAAGCUAAUUUACUAGAGGAAUUGGCUGGGGUGUCUCAUCUAAUAGAAAUAAACACGAAAUCACUUUAGUGUCUCUCCUUUUCAAGGGCCGCUGUUUUUCCAUAAAAUUUACAAGCCCACAGAUUGAUGCAGAAGUCCCUAUAACUCAUGUGGCUGCGACUUUAUCAUUUUAAAUAGUAUUUUCCCCCCGCAAAUUAACAGCACUGAGAAAUGGGAGGCCGUUUUCAAACCACAGCACGCAGAUAGAAUUUCGGAAUAAACUUUUGACAUAGCCCGGUGAAGGGGCCUGGUGAGCAAGCAGACGUUUAUAACAAAAUGCACCAAAGCUAGAGUUAAGAAUAAGCAUUGGGUGUUUGCAUGAAUGUGCAUAGUGGGAUGGUUCACCAGGCUUGUGGGAGAGAGGCCGUAUAUAGGCCGAGAGCAUGCAGCAGCCCUGUGCACACCCACAUGUCAGGCAACAACGGAGUUAGAGGGCAAAGGCCAGCAACUUCCUUUGUGCUUCAGGGAGGAGUGUAUUCUGGGGUUGUGAAGAAAUGAGGACCAGGGAGGUUUCCAGCCUGUCUUCUUUUCUGGUCGUGUUGUAUUUAGAACACCCAUUUCACUCAGAAAUAAAAUGAGCUAGUUCGGAAGUGGGUUGUGUACACUGUCCCCAUGCCCGUGGUUAAGGUUAACAAAAGUUAGGGGAUGAGUUAGUGUAAGAGUUCCAGACCUCUCUCGUCCAUUCCUCAGAAUCUGUUCAGGUUUCAUUUCCAGCUCAGGACUCCAUGGAGAAAAGACAGUGGUCCCUCCAGAGCAAUGGUGUCUGCUUUUCUCCCCUUUGACUCAACCUAUUCCAUAUUGAAAAUGCUUGAGAAACCUCACGUCUAUACUGAACAGCCUCAGUCCUUCCCCUCGUCAAUCCCUAAAUCAUCCCAUAUAAACGUCGUUUGUCCAGCACUGACUGCACUGUACUCAGUAUUCCAAGAAAUCCAGAGUCGAGUUCGGAAGACGGUUUUUGGCACAGCUGGCGAAAGGGCCUGGUGAGUGAUGUUUGCAAUGAAGUGUAGCAGAGGCUAGGGUGAGAGUCUGCAGUUGAGCUGUGUGCAUGUGUGUAUCCAGAGAGCGAGCGGGACUGUGGUGUAUGUCCUUUGCAAAUACCACAUUGAAUUCCACCUCAGUACACUCGCUGUCUCUGUGGAAGAUUCCCCUAUGGACCCAGGACUGUAAUGGAUCUACUAAACAUGCCAGGAUCUGGUUCCACAAGGGGAUCACCUUUUGUUUUUAUUUCUCAUGAGAUCCAGUCUGAUAGGAGCUGGGUGACAAUUUUUGAUGAUCCCAUUUCUGUCCACCCUUGUUACCUCCUUGUCUCCAUCCUUUCGGGAUCCUUGACUGCUUCAUGGGAGCAGUGUCUAAAGUGACUCCCUGACUCCCAGCUCUAAGCUCUGAGCUUUGAUUUAACUCCACCUUCCUUUCUUGUCACUCAGUUCCUAUCUCUCUGCCGACCACCGCCAGUAAUUCCAUCGAUCGAUGCACUCCAUGCCCCAGUUUCCGGAAUGGACCUGACGCUAAGAGAAUCGUCAAGAAGAAUAGAUUUUUUUCUCUGUUUAUUUUUCUAUUUUCUCUUUUGGUUUUCCAGUAAGUGACAGUUGUGUUUGCUAUCAAUGUUCAAAAAAUGCCAUUCCUUUACAUUUGUUCAUCCCAGAUCAAACACAUUAAGGGCCAGCUCCAUCCUUUGUCAACAGUGAGAUGAGUUUGUAAGAGAAUUUCAUCACAAUCGGGGAUUUGCUUCUUCUCUCAUACUUUGAGUACUGGGUUGCAUAUUUUACUGAAUCCUUUCCUGUUUACCAAACAGUAAGGGAAAUCUUCUCUUGAAUGCCGAGGAAGAAGCUGCCCGAUGGAAUCAGGGAAUUGGCACAUGCCUCUGCCCCACAAGCCAGACCACAGGUUGCAAUCAAGGUUUGUGAUUUAAGGAAUUGCAAAGGAGGAAUUAGAAUUAUAAACUUUAUAUCUGGCACCACAUUCUUCACAUAGGCAAGAAUAUCCAUGACCAGGGAAUGUACAUGUAACAGUUAACUCUAAUUUUUAGUGGAGCUUCGUGUAGAAUUUAUUUUUCUCUGGGGAAGUCUUACUUGGAACCUCUUUGAGCAUUUCUUCCUCUGCUUAGUUCCCAGCUUACACAUUUGAUUCUCCUUGCUUGAAGAAGUACAUAAGCUAUGUGAGACUCCAUCUCCCAGCUUCUCUUUCUGCUUUUGUAGAAAGGGAUAAGAACAUGGCUUUUCUGUCCGGAUUGGUAACUUGCACACACAUGCCCAUAUCAACCUUCAUUGUCAACUCGAUGGGCUAUGGAAUCACUUAAGAUGCACACCUCUGGCUUUGUCUGUGUGGCAGUUUCUAGUGAGGCUUGCCUGAAGUGAGAGGCCUUACUGAGAACAUGGAUGUGUAAGACAAGCAUGGGAUACACACCCGUGUAAGGAAGGACUGGAGGGGUGGAGGAACCAUGCUGUGCUAGAGGGUAGGCUCCGAGAUCAAAGGCCCUUGGCACCAAAGUGAAAUUCCUCCACAAAGGCAGGAUCUAGUUCUGGGUGACAGAUGGACACUAACUGCACUGGUCCCAAGGUGUAUGACGUUUAAAUGGUAAUUCAUGCCCAACACUUGGCAUAGUGCAUGGUACUGGUUAAACACUGAAAUGUUUACUACACGGUUUUUAUAAUUUUGUAAGGGACCCACAGGACAUCAGAUUUGCUAUGUGAGGAGAACUGUCAAACACAGUUCGGCUUUUGAAUUUUUAUUUCUUUUUAGUUUGUAUGUAUGCAUAGGUAUAGCAUGUCCAAGUCUAGUCCCCUCAGAGGCCAAAGGAAAGUGCCAGGUCCUCUGGGACUGGAGUUAAAGAUGGCUGUGAACUGAAAUGUGGUUACUGAGAAUGGAACCCGGUCCUUUGGUAAAGCAGUAGAUGCUCUUUACUGCUGAGCCAUUUCUCCAGACCUCCACGUAGUUUGUUUAAUAAUCAAGGAUGGCACAGAGAAUCUGGAAGAAUAGUGAAUCUGAUAGACACAUUACUCAGGGGCUGGGAGCAUCCUGGCUGGAGUAGAGGGAUACAGGGCUAGAGAACUCUAACUUGCAGAGGAAAAAAAAACCAUAUUCAUCACAAACAAACAUAUAUACCAUCCCCCCAAACCAUACAUCCAUCACAACACAUACAUAGAUGCACCCAAUAACAUAUCCAACACACACACACACACACACACACACACACACACACACACACAUACACACACACACACAGGUACAUACACCCUAAAUAAAAAUAAAAAAUAGACAACCCUCAAGAAAUGUCCAAAACUCAAAGAAAGGACAUAGUAACAGUGAAAACACAGCCCCUACAAUACAUAUUUCUUGUUCUAAACCCCAUGCUACUGUGUGUGUGUGUGUGUGUGUGUGUGUGUGUGUGUGUGUGUGUGUGAGAGAGAGAGAGAGAGAGAGAGAGAGAGAGAGAGAGAGAGAGAGAGAGAGAAUUCUGUUGGAGAAAGACUUGAGCAGCCUUAGAUGCACAGCAUCUGUGAUAUCUCUCUUUGAUUUCAGGGAAGCUGGUCUUAAAGAGACAGAAACUACACUUCUGACUUCUCAGAAUGUUUGGAUGGGAUGCUGCCUGGCAACCCACCAAGGGAGGGCUUUAGGUCGUUGGGGCAUUGUGGAACCUUGGCUCCUCCUUUUUUUCUUCCGGGUGGUUUUAUUCUGCCAGUUGCUCCUUGGCAUGAUCCCUUGCCUACCAUAAACCCAACGCCGUGGAACCGGUUGAUCCCGGACUGUUCUCUAGGAAACUGAGGGGAAAUGAAGGGCACAAUGAUGGGAACAUGGGCUGCGUGGAUAAAGCCUGCCUGGGGCUGUUGGGGGGACAUGAUCAGAGUUGGGAAUGGUGGCUACAGGAGGGUGUCUGGGGGUGAUGACCUAAAGGAAUGGUAAAGCCUUGCAGCUGUAUGUGUGGAAGCUCCCCUGGACUCAGCAGAUGAAGGGUGUCCAUUGUGUCUAUUAAAUUCUGGCUAUGGAAGUAAGGUCUUAGCUGUUUUCUUUGAAGAUUCAACCUCUGUCCUAUCACAACAAAUAUUCGUAGCCGAGGAAGAGCCAUGAGAGGCUAAAGUGAACUUCAUCCAGCAAGGAGCAGCGGCCUGAUACACCUUCAAGUUAGUUCUUCCCUUAAUUCAAUCCUGAAAAUGAAGCUAAUUGAUUCAUCGGCUUUUCAGGAGUGUGUGUUCUGUUAACCGAUGCCCCAUGGGCAGUUCCUUUAAUAUGCACCUUUCUUAUUUGAAUGAACUUGUGUACAAACGGUGUUUGGAUGUUUUCUAUAUAUCAUACUCCAUAUUUCAUAUGCAUUACUCAUAUAUAUUUAUAAAUAUGUAAAUUAUAUUCAUGUUUUUAUUAUUGC